GGAGCGGUGUCCGAGUGGUUGAAGGAGCACGCCUGGAAAGCGUGUAUAGGGGCAACCUUAUCGAGGGUUCGAAUCCCUCUCGCUCCGCCA
This 90-nucleotide transfer RNA is filed under the name Deinococcus marmoris. RNAcentral describes it as "tRNA-Ser(gga)". It matches the Rfam family "tRNA". Rfam says of the family: Transfer RNA (tRNA) molecules are approximately 80 nucleotides in length. Their secondary structure includes four short double-helical elements and three loops (D, anti-codon, and T loops). RNAcentral also lists the same sequence under 1 other name. Lineage: Bacteria; Thermotogati; Deinococcota; Deinococci; Deinococcales; Deinococcaceae. The record is from RNAcentral.